Molecule: long non-coding RNA, 415 nt
Filed under: Ricinus communis (castor bean)
Lineage: Eukaryota; Viridiplantae; Streptophyta; Magnoliopsida; Malpighiales; Euphorbiaceae
Description: long non-coding RNA (RCOM_LNC003541)
Source: RNAcentral
GAAGAUUUGCCAAGAAACUUAAAGGGCAUAAUCAAGGCAUACAGCGGGGACGCGACGAGGGCGUCGCCAGGAUGAGUGGGGGAGAAUGUCACAGCCCGUAUAUUUCCCCUUCUCGCACGAAGGUUCAAUGGCCCAAGAAGCCUCCAGAGUUCGCUACAAAGCAAGAGAGGAUUCUAGAACAUUCUAGAAUUAUCUGGAAACAUCUGGAAACAUCUGGAACAUUCUAGACCAUCUAGAAUCAUGUAUAUUGUGUAGAUAAUUAUGGAGGUAGGUGGUAGAUCAUUCUAGAGGCUUAAUCUUAGCCAUUAGAUGAAAUGUAUCCUCACCGUCCAUUGAGGAGGUGGAGGCCUAUAUAUAGCUUAGAGAUUUCAUUUGUAGGCAUUAAGCUCAAAACAAGCAAUAAGCUACAUCAAGU